CCCCUAGAUGUUCUGGGCCGCACGCGCGCUACACUGAACAGUUCAACAAGUCUUAACCUUGGCCGAUAGGUCUGGGUAAUCUUUGAACGCUGUUCGUGAUUGGGAUAGACCUUUGCAAUUAUGGGUCUUCAACGAGGAAUUCCUAGUAAACGCAAGUCAUCAGCUUGCAUUGAUUACAUCCCUGCCCUUUGUACACACCGCCCGUCGCACCUACCGAUUGAAUGGUCCGGUGAAAUCUCGGGACGGCGGCUUGGUCGCUUGCGUCCGACUGCUGAAACUUGAUUAAACCAUAUCAUUUAGAGGAAGGUGAAGUCGUAACA
This 320-nucleotide ribosomal RNA is filed under the name uncultured eukaryote. RNAcentral describes it as "partial 18S ribosomal RNA". It matches the Rfam family "Eukaryotic small subunit ribosomal RNA", at positions 1470 to 1796 of the family's 1831-position model. The record is from RNAcentral.